This 253-nucleotide ribosomal RNA is filed under the name uncultured bacterium. Its description in RNAcentral is "partial 16S ribosomal RNA". It matches the Rfam family "Bacterial small subunit ribosomal RNA", at positions 524 to 776 of the family's 1533-position model. The record is from RNAcentral.
UACGGAGGGUGCGAGCGUUGUCCGGAAUCACUGGGCGUAAAGGGCGCGUAGGUGGCGUCGCAAGUCAACGGUGAAAGCUCGACGCUCAACGUCGAGUCGGCCGUCGAGACUGCGAGGCUUGAGCACUGUAGAGGCAGAUGGAAUUCCGGGUGUAGCGGUGGAAUGCGUAGAGAUCCGGAAGAACACCGGUGGCGAAGGCGGGUCUCUGGGCCAUUACUGACGCUGAGGAGCGAAAGCGUGGGGAGCGAACAGG